GAAAUGCGAUACUUAAUGUGAAACGCAACGCAGUGUGAAUCAUCAAGGUUUCGAACGCACAUUGCGCUAUUCCAGUCUUCUGGAACAGCAUGCCUGUUUGAGCAUCGUUUCAAAACUCAACCUUCCCCCCAAACGGGGUGUUGUUGGUUGGACGCUGAGUGCCCUACUUUCGCAAGGGAGUAGGCCACUUGAAAUGGAGACCCCUUUCUGGAUAUCCUGCAUCAUCGGAUCAGGCUUCUUGUGCUGUGACGGAGAUUCAUCUCCCCCGACACUCGAAUGCAUACUUGAUUCAAGCGUGGUAUCAAUUCAAGGAAAGGAUCGUCACUACCAAUUCAAGCUCUCACGAGCCGCGAAUUCUCAAAUCGCGAUCUCAAAUCAGGUAAGGCCACCCGCUGAACUU
This 400-nucleotide unclassified non-coding RNA is filed under the name uncultured fungus. Its description in RNAcentral is "sequence contains ITS1". The stretch from base 1 to 107 matches the Rfam family "5.8S ribosomal RNA", at positions 50 to 154 of the family's 154-position model. Lineage: Eukaryota; Fungi. The record is from RNAcentral.